Long non-coding RNA from Suricata suricatta (meerkat), 3149 nucleotides. RefSeq lists it as uncharacterized. The record is from RefSeq and is a predicted model, not a curated record. The transcript is spliced from 4 exons. NCBI's taxonomy places the organism in Eukaryota, Metazoa, Chordata, Mammalia, Carnivora, Herpestidae.
GGACCCACAGGCCUUCCUUCCCGCCGACGCCAGCGCAGCUCUCGGGCGCCACCACGCGGCCCCGAAGCCGCACUGCAGCUCCAGACUCGGGGCCGGGCAGCGCGGCGUGCGGAGUCCCGGACCCCCAGGAUCUGGGCGGAGCCGACCUGCUCCAACCGUCCCCGGGGGCCGGGAGUGUGCGCUGAGCUGCGGCCCCUCCCGGGCUGGGUAGGACAGAGGAAGCCCCGCUCGGCGCCGUCUGUGUGCUUCUGCAGUUUGGGACGGACUGAGUUCUCCCGGGAAGAAACCCAGCUCAGCUGUGUCGGCCCUGGGACGUCUCUUUUCCCUUUCUUUACAGUGGGAAAGGUGCUCGUCGCCCUUGGUUCGUUAUCACUUCAAUAUGGAUCUGAAGUACAAGGACACCCAGGCCGAUGCUGACCUGGAGAAGGAAGGAGGCCGCCCACCAGCGGUCGCGGACCUGCGGACCUGCGCUGGCCUGCAGCCUGCGAGGGGACGGAGGUCUCAGCCCCGCGCCCACAGCGCGGAGCCCGGCCCCUCUACCCCUUCCUGCGAGCCUGAGGAGCCUCCUGGUUUCUGCUUGGCUCAAUAAGGACGCAUCUCCCUGUGGGCAGAGUCAUUCCAUCGCCCCGACACAGGUUCAGGAACUCGUGUGCUUCUGGGGCAGAGUUCUGGAAACCCAGGCUCGGUAGGAUGGUUGUGGUGGUGACGUUGCAGCCAGGCCGUCAGGAGUCUGGAAGCAAGUGUCGCUGUUGGCAGCAUCUCCCGGGGGCUCUGAGGGCUCUGAAACGCCUGUCCUGUGUUGAAGCUUUCCAGCAUGAAGGGCCCUCAGGCUCAGGCUUCUGACCUCACUCGCGGCGGAACCUUCUGGAACACUAAAGAAUAAGACAAGGAGCAGGAUGCUCUUGCGAUGGAUCCUCGGGGUGAGACAUGUCUGCCCACUCCCGAGUGUGAAUAAACCGGUAAAGGAAGGCGCAAGCAGAUCAAGAGCCGUAUUUCAGGAUUUGAUUCACAAACUGUUUAAAAACCGAGGCCGCUGCUUGUAAACUGUCAGAUACUCUUAUUUUCAAAUGUGUUUCCGUUUGUCUGAAGCCUUUUUACUUGUUUAUUCCGAUCUGUCUUGCUUUCUUGGAUUUGUUCUAAUUGUUAUCUUUCUAAGGAGCUUUCCUGUCCGUCCUCCAAAAAAACCCUUCACUGAAUCUGUUAUCUUGCAGAGCUUGAAAUGCUGACACCGUCUCUGUGUCAUGUUCUGUCAUUGCUCCUGACUUCCUUCCUCCUUCUUUCUUAAAUUUGGCAAAAGAGAGAGGAGAGAGGGUCCCGUUUCCUUGCCCCUCAGCCAGGCCGCGAGGCCGCCGGGCGGACACCGUGAUGGCGGAGGAGGCCGGAAAUCUGGAGUGAGUGUGGGGCUCGGGCAGCGGUCCGCGGGCCGAGUUUGGCCCUUGGUUUGUGAGUUCUACUUCCUGUUUCACACAAGUGUUGUCCGGGCCGCUUCCUGACAGGUACCUGGUGGCACGCCUGCUCCUCCCGGAGUUUCUGGAAGGGAACCGGCAGGAAUCGCACUGGGCUGCGUGAUGCACACGUUCCCAAGGUGUUUUCGGCCUUCACUCGCUUAGGUUCCAAGCAGAGGAUCCUGCACAAUUAAAGGUACUUGAGGCUUGGGACGGAGCGGAGGAAAGAUGCUUCCCCUCUGCCUUUCUGAGGUCUUCACUGAGACCCGGUAAUGAGCGCGUGAGAGGAGAAAGGCCGACCGGAGUCUGUGGACACGUUGGCCCAGGUGUGGGGGGGGGGCCGGGGGAAAUGAGUGGCUGUCGCCGUGCUGGGAAGUCCAGCUUGGACGGCGUCUCCAGCAAAGAACGACAGAUUUGUGGUGAAAUCACGGCACAGAGGAACGCGUGUCCAGCCAAGGGCAGAGAGCAGGCCAGUCAGUCAAGUUUGUUGUUGGAUUUCUGGGCUGUUGGGGCCUAAGGCUGUCUGGGGGUGAACCUCUGUCUUUCUUGGCAGGGGGGCGAGAAGGGGCCUCUUGGUAAACUUCUGUCCUAAGUCUUCUCUCUUGCCUUCAGCUCACAAUAAUCCUUGUGCCCAGGCAGCAUAUUUGGGGGUGGCCUAACCCACCACCUCGGGGUCUUUCUUGUCCACGUUCCUUUGGAGGUUGAGAGAGGGGAACUGCUAUGGAAAAAAAUGGGCUCAGGUUUGCUGCGGGUGUGAACCAGAUUUCGGGCACCCUGCCAGGCCUCUUGCGCUAGGUGAACCCCACUCAGAACCUUCCAGAUGUCUUUACAUAAAAUGGAAAAGCGCAGUGCGUAGGCCGGGGCUGCACAGAUUCAGGAAAGCGCUGGUCUGUCUGUGGUCUCUCCCCCCCCUGAGCUCCAGCCUCCCCCCUGCCCGAGAGCUCAUCUGAUGCACAACUGUGGCACCUCCUGGGCCCGCACAAAACCUCAGUGGCCAGAGUCUGAGUCUGGCCUGUCUUCUCUUACUUGUUCUCAAAAAACAACCUGGGAGUCUGACUCCAGCCGGACGCCAUGGCGCACCCUGCCUGACAGGGACAGCCACACUCCGACAGUCAGGCUCAGAGAUCCUCGACGGAACCUCCAAGUCACAGCGUGAGUCCCUGCUUUCCGUCUCUGCUGCAGGAUCCCCGUCACUCAGUUCUUAACCCAGUCUUACCUGUCACCAGCAAACCCGUCACUUUCUAUCAGCUACAGAAACCUGACUCAUUUUCCCUGCAUCCCAGUCCCUCGUGAUGGGACGCAAUUACCUGGUAAGAGAUUCUCUUUGCCUCAAAUAACAAUGGAGCGCAGGCUUUACCUGCUAUGCAAACUCUCGAACGCAUGCCCUACAUAUUUAGGGGCAACUUACACUCUUGAAAAUAGAAAACCAAACAGUGAAGGCCCCGCUGGGAUUCGAACCCAGGAUCUCCUGUUUACUAGACAGGCGCUUUGACCAGCUAAGCCACGGAGCCCCUUUUUGAGUUUCUGUUCAGUUAUAUCAUAUUUAUACCAUUUUCUGCAAAUUUUAGUGACUUGAUUUUGUGACAAAGAGAAGAUAUCUGUGUUUCUGAGCUUGUACGGAAACAGAAACUUUAACAUUUGAAGAAAAUGCAUUCUUCUAUGCAGGGAAGGUUUAAAAAUUUUCAAAUUAAAAAAAAAAAAAAA